GACAGAGGGUGCAAACGUUGUUCGGAAUUACUGGGCGUAAAGCGUGUGUAGGCGGCUAAGCAAGUCGGAUGUGAAAGCCCCGGGCUCAACCCGGGAAGUGCACUCGAUACUGCAGAGCUUGAGUAUCGGAGAGGUUGGUGGAAUUCUCGGUGUAGAGGUGAAAUUCGUAGAUAUCGAGAGGAACAUCGGCGGCGAAGGCGGCCAACUGGACGAAUACUGACGCUGAGACACGAAAGCGUGGGGAGCAAACAGG
This 253-nucleotide ribosomal RNA is filed under the name uncultured bacterium. Its description in RNAcentral is "partial 16S ribosomal RNA". It matches the Rfam family "Bacterial small subunit ribosomal RNA", at positions 524 to 776 of the family's 1533-position model. The record is from RNAcentral.